CUAAUGUGGUUGCAGACGCGU
Molecule: non-coding RNA, 21 nt
Filed under: Arabidopsis thaliana (thale cress)
Lineage: Eukaryota; Viridiplantae; Streptophyta; Magnoliopsida; Brassicales; Brassicaceae
Source: RNAcentral